GACGAACGCUGGCGGCGUGCUUAACACAUGCAAGUCGAACGGUGAAGCGCCUUCCUUUUUGGUGGGUGUGGAUGAGUGGCGAACGGGUGAGUAACACGUGAGUAACCUGCCCCCUUCUUCUGGAUAACCGCAUGAAAGUGUGGCUAAUACGGGAUAUUCUGGGUCUGUCGCAUGAUGGGUCUGGGAAAGAUAUUGUUUCGGUGGGGGAUGGGCUCGCGGCCUAUCAGCUUGUUGGUGGGGUGAUGGCCUACCAAGGCGGUGACGGGUAGCCGGCCUGGGAGGGUAGACGGUCAGACGGGGACUGAGACACGGCCCAGACUCCUACGGGAGGCAGCAGUGGGGAGUAUUGCACAAUGGGCGCAAGCGUGAUGCAGCGACGCCGCGUGAGGGAUGGAGGCCUUCGGGUUGUGAACCUCUUUCGCCAGUGAAGCAGGCCUGCCUCGUUUGUGGGUGGGUUGACGGUAGCUGGAUAAGAAGCGCCGGCUAACUACGUG
Molecule: ribosomal RNA, 494 nt
Filed under: uncultured bacterium
Lineage: Bacteria
Description: partial 16S ribosomal RNA
Rfam family: Bacterial small subunit ribosomal RNA
Source: RNAcentral